RNAcentral lists this ribosomal RNA (484 nucleotides) under uncultured bacterium. Its description in RNAcentral is "partial 16S ribosomal RNA". It matches the Rfam family "Bacterial small subunit ribosomal RNA", at positions 30 to 507 of the family's 1533-position model. The record is from RNAcentral.
AUUGAACGCUGGCGGCAUGCCUAACACAUGCAAGUCGAGCGAAUGAAGGGGGCUUUCGCCUUGAUGCAGCGGCGGACGGGUGGGUAAUGCCUAGGAAGCUGCCUGGUAUUUAGGGAUAGCGUACGUAAAGGGACGCUAAUACCGCAUACGUCAUGAUUUUGAACGGGAUGGUUCUUCGGACCUCACGCUAUCAGCUGAGCCUAAGUUGUAUUAGCUAGUUGGUUGGGUAACGGCUUACCAAGGCGACGAUCCGUAACUGGCCUGAGAGGCUGAUCAGCCACACUGGAACUGAGACACGGUCCAGACUCCUACGGGAGGCAGCAGUAGGGAAUCUUGCACAAAGGGCGAAAGCCUGACCGAGCAACGCCGCGUGAGUGAUGAAGGUCUUCGGAUCGUAAAGCUCUUUAAGUUGGGAGGAAGGGAAGUAAGAGUAACUCUUGAUGUCUUGACGUUACCAACAGAAAAAGCCACGGCUAACUACGUG